Molecule: ribosomal RNA, 508 nt
Filed under: uncultured bacterium
Lineage: Bacteria
Description: partial 16S ribosomal RNA
Rfam family: Bacterial small subunit ribosomal RNA
Source: RNAcentral
GACGAACGCUGGCGGCGUGCCUAAUACAUGCAAGUCGAACGCUUCUUUCCUCCCGAGUGCUUGCACUCAAUUGGAAAGAGGAGUGGCGGACGGGUGAGUAACGCGUGGGUAACCUACCCAUCAGAGGGGGAUAACACUUGGAAACAGGUGCUAAUACCGCAUAACAGUUUAUGCCGCAUGGCAUAAGAGUGAAAGGCGCUUUCGGGUGUCGUUGAUGGAUGGACCCGCGGUGCAUUAGCUAGUUGGUGAGGUAACGGCUCACCAAGGCCACGAUGCAUAGCCGACCUGAGAGGGUGAUCGGCCACACUGGGACUGAGACACGGCCCAGACUCCUACGGGAGGCAGCAGUAGGGAAUCUUCGGCAAUGGACGAAAGUCUGACCGAGCAACGCCGCGUGAGUGAAGAAGGUUUUCGGAUCGUAAAACUCUGUUGUUAGAGAAGAACAAGGACGUUAGUAACUGAACGUCCCCUGACGGUAUCUAACCAGAAAGCCACGGCUAACUACGUG